Molecule: long non-coding RNA, 409 nt
Filed under: Mytilus galloprovincialis (Mediterranean mussel)
Lineage: Eukaryota; Metazoa; Mollusca; Bivalvia; Mytilida; Mytilidae
Source: RNAcentral
AUUUAUAUUUUCGUUAGGGUUAGUCCAGACAGAUAUGGUUGAAUGAACUUUAAUUUACUCUACAUAGCAUAAACAACAUAAAAACUAUAUAAAACAAGAUCACACAUGUCUUGAAUUUAUACAAGAUAUAAAAGAAAGAAUGCAAAAAGAUUGAUAUAAACAUACAGACAUGAAUAGCAAACAACAUAUCCCAAGACAAAUGCAAAUAUUUUGCUAACCUUGAUAACUAAGUUCAAAUAGACAGAAAAUACGAAAAAAAAUCAAAUUAAAGAAAAAUAUUCGCUAAACGAUCCCCUGUUGCCGAAUAUCCAUUGCCUUUCAUCCUGGUCGGUAUAACUUGAAGAUUAUAUAGGUAUUGUAUUAAUUGUUAAUUUGUUAACGCCCUGUAUAUGUAUGAACUUUUGGCACU